Molecule: long non-coding RNA, 228 nt
Filed under: Homo sapiens (human)
Lineage: Eukaryota; Metazoa; Chordata; Mammalia; Primates; Hominidae
Description: HSALNT0037830
Source: RNAcentral
GGACCAGGGACCCUCAAGAUGAGAUGUUAUUUGGAAUAGAAGGUAAAGGAAGGGGUUCACCUUGCCCCUGAGCUCAGAGCUACACCAAACCUACUGUAAGACAGUGGAAUUCAGACAUCACAGCAGUGGGAUGGUCAUCAUUGGAGGUCUCUAAGUCACUACCCCAAGAAGCCCCUUGACAGUGUGCCCGGCUGGUGAGAGGAUUCUUUGAAUGAUGUCUGCACACUG